AAAAAAAAAAAAAAAAAAAAAAGGAAGAAGAAGAAGCAAGCUGCAUUACUUUCUCUGCUUGCAUGUCCCCUAGCUUGCAUCACUAACAAAAACCUAUCUAGCCCUAGCUGUGGCUAAAUUCUCCAUAUAUAUAUAUAUGCUUCUGAGUCUGCUCAAAAACAUAGACUAGCAAGCAAUUAAGCAAAUUGCUGUUUAAUUAAUUAGAUGAAAGAUGCAGCUACCAUAAUAAUAAUGGCACAUGUAAUUAACCUGAAGUUAAUUUGAUUAUUAAUUUGUGCAGCGGCAGCAGCGGCUGGCGUUGUGGGGGUUGAAGGUACUGCUCCAUAAACUGUUGCCCCGUUUGAAUUUGUGGUGUUCAACACUGACGAGCUUGUGCUGUAGUUUUAUUUCAUCAAACGUAAAUAAUUAAUUAACAAUCCUUUGAGAUUUGUAGAUCAACCGAUCAUAAUUUCAUACAGAUAAAGUAAUUAAUUUUACCUAGUCGAUGGAUACUGACACGUCCCACUGCCUGAAAAAUAUUUUUGAAAAUGGAUUAGUAAAAUUUAAAUUAAUUAAUUAUAAAAAAUGAUGCAGGACUCACUUGGAUCAGAGCUGGUAGUAACCGCAGUUCCUCCAAAAUUGCAGCUGCUUGGAAUCGGAUUCUUCUGAUAAUAGCUAUUGAAUGCAAAGGAAGCAUGAUCAUGAAGACUAUUGGGAUUGUAACAACUUCCACCACCUUGAAUCGCCGAACAAUCUGCACCACCAUAACCACAAGCGUAGUCCAGUGCUACUUGUAACGCCGUUGGUGAUGCACUUGGGCUGGCUAUACACCAGCUAGCUCCAGAAGAUACUGGUGAUGAUGUUGUGGUUGGAGUUAUCACCGGCGUCAUGGUAACCGGCGAUGUAGAAUCGGGGUCUGAAUUCGGGUUUACGAUGGGAGUUGAUGAAGUAGGAGGGGUCGGAAUGAUCGUCGGAACAGUAGUCAUCGGAGUAGUAAUAUCCUUUUGGCUUUUGGAAAUAUAAGUGAGAUGAUGUCGUUUUGCUCCAUCUUCUAGCUUGCUUGAAUGACCAACUGCUGUAAUUCUUGGACCUGAAGAGUACAGACCAAAUAGGAAGAAUACCAAAUAAUAGAUAACUCUUCCACUGCCACCCAUGUGCACAUAUAAGCCUCCAACCCUCUUCUUCUUCUUCUUCUUUCUUUCUUUCUUUCUUGAAAUUCUUGAAUCAAAUUCUUUCUUCUUCUGUUACUUUCCGGUUCUUUCUUCUAUUCCCCUCUUUCAUUUCUCAUUUCCAGCAUUUGAAGAAACUUGUUUCUUGCAAUUCUUGGAAUUUUUGUUCUUCCUCCACUUUUUUGCCUAUUUCCUUCUUUCUUUGGAACCAGAUCUUUUCCAAAUUCUAGAAAUAUCAAGAAAGUUACUCAAGUUUUCUCUCAAUUUCUCUUUCUUUCUUUAUGUAACUGUCAAGAACAGAUUCUCUUCUUCUCCAUUUUCUAUUUCUCUUCUUUUCUUCGGCUGUAACUUUGAUUUUUGGGUUCACAGUUAACAGUAAUAUUGUAGAGCUUGUUACAAGUGGGAAUGAAUCAAUUUUCAAUUCUUUUGGGGGUUGGAAUUAUGGCCAGAUCAAUGGUGGUUAACCAAGAGAUGGUUAGGACAACAGAGCUGGAAGAAUGGAUAAAGAUUUUCCAAGAAAAUGUGCAGAGGCGUGUCAAGGAAUUCAAGAAGGAAUUCGGGGAAUAGAUACAGGUAUUUAGGGAGUCAUUAAGGGAGUCCUUUCAAGCUUUAAGAACCAGCACCCAUAUAUUUGAGGAUUCUUGUAGUAGUGGCAGUGAAUUGGACUUAACAACUCAAGAGGAAAAGAUAGAGGAUUUCGAUGCUAAUGAGACUAUCCCUCUCGAUGACACAAUAAUUUUGCACGAUGGUGGAGAUAAGAAAUUGAUGGAAGAAAGAUUAAGAGAUGAAAAUCUUGUGUGCAAAACAUCCAACGCUGAUGGAGAUGAAGAAGCUACUAUUCUACUAAAUACAACAUUAUCUGCAUCAGUUGACAAGGAGAAAGCACAAGAAGGGUUGUCAAAGCUCUCUAGUGGGAUUAUUGUUCUUAAGGUUUAGGGGGCUAGUGAAGCAGAAAAUUUUCUUUUGGAGUAUUUUGAUAAGGAGCAAUUUAGUCAAAAGCAAAGCUUUGCAACAUACCCUCAGCUGAAAUGGAAGGAGGGUGGAUUUUAUUCCUGUGAUUUCUUAGUUUCCAUGGAGGAUGAAUGGGAAAUAUUAAGAAGCAAAGAAAGAAAUCCAUCUUAUAUGAUCCAGAGGGGGGAAAAAAUUCACUCCAACAUUUUUUAUUCUCUCUUUCUGGUUAUUUUCUGCUGCAAUAAAUGGUCGUUGUUUGGAUAUGGAGGCAAUAGUUUUACAGUCAAAAUAGCAAGGAA
Molecule: unclassified non-coding RNA, 2398 nt
Filed under: Hevea brasiliensis (rubber tree)
Lineage: Eukaryota; Viridiplantae; Streptophyta; Magnoliopsida; Malpighiales; Euphorbiaceae
Source: RNAcentral